AAAUUGAAGAGUUUGAUCAUGGCUCAGAUUGAACGCUGGCGGCAGGCCUAACACAUGCAAGUCGAACGGUAGCACAGAGAGCUUGCUCUCGGGUGACGAGUGGCGGACGGGUGAGUAAUGUCUGGGAAACUGCCCGAUGGAGGGGGAUAACUACUGGAAACGGUAGCUAAUACCGCAUAACGUCGCAAGACCAAAGUGGGGGACCUUCGGGCCUCACACCAUCGGAUGUGCCCAGAUGGGAUUAGCUAGUAGGUGGGGUAACGGCUCACCUAGGCGACGAUCCCUAGCUGGUCUGAGAGGAUGACCAGCCACACUGGAACUGAGACACGGUCCAGACUCCUACGGGAGGC
RNAcentral lists this ribosomal RNA (350 nucleotides) under Salmonella enterica subsp. enterica serovar Kentucky. Its description in RNAcentral is "bacterial SSU rRNA". It matches the Rfam family "Bacterial small subunit ribosomal RNA", at positions 1 to 349 of the family's 1533-position model. Lineage: Bacteria; Pseudomonadati; Pseudomonadota; Gammaproteobacteria; Enterobacterales; Enterobacteriaceae. The record is from RNAcentral.